This is a long non-coding RNA of Aegilops tauschii subsp. strangulata, 1572 nucleotides long. RefSeq lists it as uncharacterized. The record is from RefSeq and is a predicted model, not a curated record. Lineage: Eukaryota; Viridiplantae; Streptophyta; Magnoliopsida; Poales; Poaceae.
UCCCCCUCCCGCGAUUCCCACCGUCGCCACCCCCACCCACCACCGCCGACCUCGUCUCCGCCACACACCCUCUCCCCUCGCCUUCAUCCCCCAGAUCCACCAGUCUGCUUCUCGGCCAUGGCGUCACGGCCGGUUUUCUCGCCAGCACGCGCGUGCGUGCUUCGAUGCGCGCCGCUCCGUCGAGCUGGCCGGACCGUGGAGCGCGCGUGGACCGUGUAUCCGCUACCAAAUCUCCCCUCCGCUCCCGAAUCAAACCUCCCAAAUCUCUCCCCCGCUCCCGAAUCAAAUCCCCAUCACCUCCGCCACCACCCCACCUACUCCCACCGCCGUCGCGAGCCACGAGCGCGAGCGGGGCGAUGGCCAAUCCUCUGCUUCUCCUCGAAGUCCCCACUCCAUUCGUCGUGCAUACCCUAGGACGACGGCGGCCGACAGAUCUAGGGAGACGACGAACCCUAGCCGCAACGGCUUGUUGGUGUGGCUGCGGCGCAUCUGAUACUCGCCCCGAGCUCCCUCCUCCUCCGUUGCUGUGGCCGCCUUGGGACGAUAUUCGCCGCCUGUGACCGCUGUGUUGGGAACCGGUCCGGCCAAGGGGAAGACGGGUUCCCAGCCAACGCAGCGUCCGGUGAAGCGGCUCUACCUGCGGCCCGAUUGCGCUCACAACGUCCCCGUCACCAAGUUCAAUCAAAAGACUGGCAAGCCUCUCAAGUGUAAAGAAAAUGGUACGCUCUCAAGUCUAAGAUGGAUACAGAGCGGUGUAUGCAUGUGCCAAACUGAAACCAUAUGUGUUACGUAGGGAAUUCUUGCUCCGCUCGGAAGGAGUUGUCAUUUCCGUGGGAGUCUCUGACCUCUUAUUCUACUACCUAUUGCUGCUGCUGCUGGGUGUCUGUAGCUACAGGGGAAUCCACUGUAGUCCUACUUGCGAACUCAACUAAACUGCAGCACAGUUUGAAUAUAGCACCUAACACUGAUGUAAAAGAUGUCCAUGGAGAAGAUGGCCAUUGGACUGUAGGGGAGCGAGAGGGCUGUCACCAAGAAGGAAGGCAUUGACCUUGCCAAGGAGUAUGGAUGUCUAUCUGGAAUGCAGCGCAAAGACCAAAGUGAAUGUUUAGUAGUGGUUUGAAGAGGUUGUACUGAAGAUUGACAGGAGCAGGAGAGUCUGUGAUUGCUAUAGAAGGACUGAAGUAGCUUCAUGUUGAAGAAAAUUUGAGACACAUGGAGUUGGUUCAGCCUUGAGUGACCUGGAGAAGCAGGGCAUUGCCGGGGAGAUCUCUGACUUGUGUCGUGAUGGUGGCGUCUAUUCAUGUUUCGUCGCGAGCUCCAGGAUGAAGUUGGAAGAAGCAAUGCAUGCCCGAUCUUUAUCUCGGGAGUAUGCCAAUGGCUAGCUUUAUAGAAGGGAUGCAUGCUGGAUCUAGGCAUGCAUGCAUGUUCUAGAAUCCGUACUUCAGAACCUAAAUGCUGAUUUUUCUGGGAAAUUUGUUGUACUGGUGAUUUGCUGAGAAUUUGGUGUAUAUUUGCUUGCCACUAUGUUUACUUGAAAUUUAUUUAUGGAUUGGAAAUUAUAUUGGCAUUGAA